UACGUAGGGGGCUAGCGUUGUCCGGAAUCAUGGGGCGGAAAGAGCGUGUAGGCGGUCCGGUAAGUCCGCUGUGAAAGUCGGGGGCUCAACCCUCGAAUGCCGGUGGAUACUGUCGGGCUAGAGUGCGGAAGAGGCGAGUGGAAUUCCUGGUGUAGCGGUGAAAUGCGUAGAUAUCAGGAGGAACACCGGUGGCGAAGGCGGCCCUCUGGACGGUGACUGACGCUGAGACGCGAAAGCGUGGGGAGCAAACAGG
Molecule: ribosomal RNA, 253 nt
Filed under: uncultured bacterium
Lineage: Bacteria
Description: partial 16S ribosomal RNA
Rfam family: Bacterial small subunit ribosomal RNA
Source: RNAcentral